This 708-nucleotide small RNA is filed under the name Pongo abelii (Sumatran orangutan). RNAcentral describes it as "retained intron". Lineage: Eukaryota; Metazoa; Chordata; Mammalia; Primates; Hominidae. The record is from RNAcentral.
UGCUGGUGAACAACGCCGCUGUCGCCCUGCUGCAGCCCUUCCUGGAGGUCACCAAGGAGGCCUUUGACAGAUCCGUUGAGGUGAACCUGCGUGCGGCCAUCCAGGUGUCACAGGUGAGCUGCCCUGUGGGCUGGACGGGAAUUCUGGUGAGUGAUGCCAGCUCUGCUUCACCGUCUCGCUGCAAUUCCAGAUUGUAGCCAGGGGCUUAAUAGCCCGGGGAGUCCCAGGGGCCAUCGUGAAUGUCUCCAGCCAGGGCUCCAAGCGGGCAGUAACUAACCAUAGCGUCUACUGCUCCACCAAGGGUGCCCUGGACAUGCUAACCAAGGUGAUGGCCCUAGAGCUCGGGCCCCACAAGGUGAGCAGGGCUGGGGUACCUCCCCCAACCUAGGCCACCCCACUUGCCCUGCUGACCCCAGCUGUCCCGGUAUAGAUCCGAGUGAAUGCAGUAAACCCCACAGUGGUGAUGACGCCCAUGGGCCAGGCGGCCUGGAGUGACCCCCACAAAGCCAAGACUAUGCUGGACCGAAUCCCACUUGGCAAGUUUGCUGAGGUAGAGCACGUGGUGGACGCCAUCCUCUUUCUGCUGAGUGACCGAAGCGGCAUGACCACGGGUUCCACUAUGCCGGUGGAAGGGGGCUUCUGGGCCUGCUGAGCUCCCUCCACACACCUCAAACCCCAUGCCGUGCCUAUCCUACCCCCAAUCCCUCC